This 849-nucleotide ribosomal RNA is filed under the name uncultured bacterium. RNAcentral describes it as "bacterial SSU rRNA". It matches the Rfam family "Bacterial small subunit ribosomal RNA", at positions 33 to 871 of the family's 1533-position model. The record is from RNAcentral.
ACGCUGGCGGCGCGUUUUAGCAUGCAAGUCGAACGGUAGAGUAGUGCUUGCACUACUUGAGAGUGGCGAACGGGUGAGUAACGCGUAGAUGAUCUACCUUUCGGUUGGGGAUAGCUCAUGGAAACAUGGGGUAAUACCGAAUAAGAUCCUUUUGCUUUGGCGAUUGGAUGAAAGGGGCUUCGGCCUCGCCGGGGGAUGAGUCUGUGUAUGAUUAGCUAGUUGGUGUGGUAAAGGCGCACCAAGGCGACGAUCAUUAGCCGGCCUGAGAGGGUGACCGGCCACAUUGGGACUGAGACACGGCCCAGACUCCUACGGGAGGCAGCAGCUAAGAAUCUUCCGCAAUGGGCGAAAGCCUGACGGAGCAACGCCGCGUGGGUGAAGAAGGCCGAGAGGUUGUAAAACCCUUUUCCCACAGAAGAAUAAGUUUCAGAGGUAAUGCUGGAGCGAUGACGUUAUGUGAGGAAUAAGCACCGGCCAAUUACGUGCCAGCAGCCGCGGUAACACGUAAGGUGCGAGCGUUGUUCGGAAUUAUUGGGCGUAAAGGGCUCGUAGGUGGCCUGCCAAGUCUCACGUGAAAGACCAGGGCUNNAACCCUGGGAGCGCGAGAGAAACUGGCAAGCUGGAAUCUUGGAGGGGGUACUGGAAUUCCUGGUGUAGGGGUGAAAUCUGUUGAUAUCAGGAAGAACACCGGAGGCGAAGGCGAGUACCUGGCCAAAGAUUGACGCUGAUGAGCGAAAGCGUAGGGAGCGAACAGGAUUAGAUACCCUGGUAGUCUACGCCGUAAACGAUGUGCACUUGGUGGUGGUCCCGUCCGGGAUCACUGCCGGAGCUAACGCAUUAAGUGCACCG